Long non-coding RNA from Nematolebias whitei (Rio pearlfish), 89 nucleotides. RefSeq lists it as uncharacterized. The record is from RefSeq and is a predicted model, not a curated record. The transcript is spliced from 3 exons. Lineage: Eukaryota; Metazoa; Chordata; Actinopteri; Cyprinodontiformes; Rivulidae.
GACCUACUGCUGCCAUGGAGAAGUCAAGAUGAACCAGAGGUGAAACACCUCUGCCAGACAGCCACGUCCUGCUGCCACCUCCCUGCCAC